AAUAGAUACCCUGGUAGUCCACGCCGUAAACGAUGAGUGCUAAGUGUUAGGGGGUUUCCGCCCCUUAGUGCUGCAGCUAACGCAUUAAGCACUCCGCCUGGGGAGUACGGUCGCAAGACUGAAACUCAAAGGAAUUGACGGGGGCCCGCACAAGCGGUGGAGCAUGUGGUUUAAUUCGAAGCAACGCGAAGAACCUUACCAGGUCUUGACAUCCCGUUGACCACUGUAGAGAUAUAGUUUCCCCUUCGGGGGCAACGGUGACAGGUGGUGCAUGGUUGUCGUCAGCUCGUGUCGUGAGAUGUUGGGUUAAGUCCCGCAACGAGCGCAACCCUUGAUCUUAGUUGCCAUCAUUUAGUUGGGCACUCUAAGGUGACUGCCGGUGACAAACCGGAGGAAGUGGGGAUGACGUCAAAUCAUCAUGCCCCUUAUGACCUGGGCUACACACGUGCUACAAUGGACGAUACAAACGGUUGCCAACUCGCGAGAGGGAGCUAAUCCGAUAAAGUCGUUCUCAGUUCGGA
RNAcentral lists this ribosomal RNA (521 nucleotides) under uncultured bacterium. RNAcentral describes it as "bacterial SSU rRNA". It matches the Rfam family "Bacterial small subunit ribosomal RNA", at positions 777 to 1297 of the family's 1533-position model. The record is from RNAcentral.